Molecule: unclassified non-coding RNA, 2291 nt
Filed under: Spisula solidissima (Atlantic surf clam)
Lineage: Eukaryota; Metazoa; Mollusca; Bivalvia; Venerida; Mactridae
Description: centrosome-associated cnRNA194
Source: RNAcentral
CCUACAUUGGUUCAUACUCCAGUGGAAACUCUAUACAUUUAGCAAGACUGAUGAAAUCUCUCAAAAUCCCUCAAGUCAGUUUUGGGGCAUCUUCUGUUGCAUUGCUAGAUAGUGAUCGCUAUCCGUACUUCCUGCGUACAGUACCAGCAGAUGACAGACAGGCUAUGGGUAUGAUUGAGUUCCUGAGAAGGUAUGACAUCCGAUAUGUUCAAGUUAUACAUACUGCUGAUAACUAUGGUGAACAAGGUGCAGCAAUCUUCAAUAAGCUCGCUUUCCAAAACAAAGUGUGUGUCUCUCAAACAGUCUCUUUCCUUCCUCAGAGUGCAGUCACUGUUGAAAAUGCCAACGAUGUUGUCCUUGCCCUUCUCAAGAAGCCAGUCGCUAACACUGUCGUAGUAUUUGCUGACACAGCUUACAUAAAUGAACUUCUGCAUGCGAUCAGAAGAAAUCCAGAUGCACAUGGAAAGUUCCGAUUUGUUGGCUCAGAAACUUGGGCCAACAAUAAUGAAGCUAUUGAGGGGGUGGAAGAUAUCGCCGUUACCUCAGUAACAGUUGAUUUAGAUAUUGUUGACAUCCGUGAAUUUGACGAGUACCUUGCAACAAAAACCCCGGCUAACUAUCCGGAGAAUCCCUGGUUUCCAGAAUAUUACGAGGAGAUACAGAACUGUUACCUUACCAUCUCUGAUACUCGCUUCCCAGGCAGAUGUUCAGCCUCGCCCAAAAAUAUUGUGACAUCCAAGAGGUACAAACAAGACACAGCUCUCAUCCAUGUUAUCAAUGCUGUAUACUCAUCAGCAUAUGGGCCUUGACCUUGCUUUGAGAGAGGAGUGUGGAGAUAAUUNNNNNNNNGUUUGUGAAGCAUUCAAAANUCGGGACAAUAGAAGAGAAUUUGUUCUUGAACAAAUACAAAANNNNCAAGUUUUGUGGAUCUUUCUGGUCAGCCAUUUAGUUUCUCAGACAGGGGUGAUGGCAAUAAGGGAUAUGUGAUGUACUCAAUUGAUUCAUCAAAUGUCGAGGGAUACACUUACAACCCGGUAAAUUGCCAAGUACUCUAGUGAUGGACAUCUAACUAUGACUUCAUCAACAUAUUCACCAAGCUGGGAUGGAAGUUGUGAUAGAAAGGAUUCGUGUACAGAAUGCCCAACUAUUAGAAAUCUACUUACAAGAUACAUGCUGCCUGAUUAUUUGACUAGCGCCAUACAAGCAGAUCCUGCUACACUCAUCUUUGUUCUUGACAUCCGUGAGCGUGGAACUGAUGAGUAUGUUUGUGGAGAAAUGAACAUGCGUGAAAUGAUGCAAGCUUUGUCCGUAGUGUAUGUUCUGGAGCAAGCCAACCUAAUCGGAUCCCCAUUUAAAAUCAGACCCUUAAUCCUUGAUAAUUGUAAUAAUGCUCUAAGAAUUGAUCAAGAUCUUUUCAACUUACUGACAACCGGAAAGCUGUGUAAUGCUCCAUUCGAUUCAGAUCAAAGUACCAUUGANGUAAGCUCGAUCAUGRGUGUCAUGACACGRGGAUCACGUUUUGUUGCUGCUGCUAAUCGUGUCACAGCUCCAAUGAAAAUUCAGCUAAUGAGCUCCUCAGCAUCAUCAUCGGCUCUGAGUGAUCAAUGGAGAUAUCCAUACUUUGCCCGUACUGUUCCCCCAGAUAGCCAAAUGAUGGAAGUUAUUGCAAAGAUUCUGCUUGCAAACGGCUGGAGUUAUGUUGGUGUUGUGUACACUACAGAAAGCUAUGGUAUCAAUGGUUACCGAGCCUUGCAGUCAACCAUUAAUGAAGGUCUAUACUCCUGCAUNGGAUAUGCUGAAGGAGUUAACGUAGGUGCUUCUGUUGAUGAAAUACGGCCUGUUAUUCGUCGUGUUGCUAACACAGAAGGUAUAGGUGUUAUUGUUCUACUUGUGACCAAUCCUAGACCCAUACUGGAGGCUAUCAAAGCUGAAGGUCUGGCUGAUCGGUUUGUUGUGAUCGGCACCGAUUCUUGGGCCGAUUAUUCUACAGUUGCAGAAGACAUGGCUAAAGAUUUUGCUGGUUCCAUUACUAUUGGAUUUAGGAACGCCUACUUUGAUGAUUUCACUGCCUGGAUGAAACGCCUUAGAAUGAGUAACAAGUUGGGAAUUCCUGAUGACUGGUUUGAUGAAUUUUAUCAAAAUCUUCAUGAAUGCUAUCUUACAGACUCUCCUGCUCGAAGCAAUAAAUAUAGUGAUCCAUGUAAGGGAUUCACAAGCGAUGGAAACGAUCAAGGUGACAUAGUCAGUGACGAUAAAGUAGAAAAAUACGGACCUCUUCUUCUGACAACUGC